This 506-nucleotide ribosomal RNA is filed under the name uncultured Desulfobulbus sp. RNAcentral describes it as "bacterial SSU rRNA". It matches the Rfam family "Bacterial small subunit ribosomal RNA", at positions 904 to 1382 of the family's 1533-position model. The record is from RNAcentral. Lineage: Bacteria; Pseudomonadati; Thermodesulfobacteriota; Desulfobulbia; Desulfobulbales; Desulfobulbaceae.
CCUUGCCAGCCCGCUCAGAACUCAAGGAAUUGACGGGGCCCGCACAAGCGGUGGAGUAUGUGGUUUAAUUCGAUGCAACGCGAAGAACCUUACCUGGUCUUGACAUCCCGGAGACCCUUAGGAAACUAGGGGGUGCUUCCAUCUGGAAGAAUCUGGAGACAGGUGCUGCAUGGCUGUCGUCAGCUCGUGUCGUGAGAUGUUGGGUUAAGUCCCGCAACGAGCGCAACCCUUGCCUUUAGUUGCCAGCAGUUCGGCUGGGCACUCUAAAGGGACUGCCGGUGUUAAACCGGAGGAAGGUGGGGAUGACGUCAAGUCCUCAUGGCCUUUAUGACCAGGGCUACACACGUACUACAAUGGCCGAUACAAAGGGCAGCGACACUGCGAGGUGAAGCCAAUCCCGUAAAAUCGGUCUCAGUCCGGAUUGGAGUCUGCAACUCGACUCCAUGAAGUUGGAAUCGCUAGUAAUCGUGGAUCAGCAUGCCACGGUGAAUACGUUCCCGGGCCUU